Molecule: ribosomal RNA, 545 nt
Filed under: Bacillus mycoides
Lineage: Bacteria; Bacillati; Bacillota; Bacilli; Caryophanales; Bacillaceae
Description: bacterial SSU rRNA
Rfam family: Bacterial small subunit ribosomal RNA
Source: RNAcentral
AACGCUGGCGGCGUGCCUAAUACAUGCAAGUCGAGCGAAUGGAUUAAGAGCUUGCUCUUAUGAAGUUAGCGGCGGACGGGGUGAGUAACACGUGGGUAACCUACCCAUAAGACUGGGAUAACUCCGGGAAACCGGGGCUAAUACCGGAUAAUAUUUUGAACUGCAUAGUUCGAAAUUGAAAGGCGGCUUCGGCUGUCACUUAUGGAUGGACCCGCGUCGCAUUAGCUAGUUGGUGAGGUAACGGCUCACCAAGGCGACGAUGCGUAGCCGACCUGAGANGGUGAUCGGCCACACUGGGACUGAGACACGGCCCAGACUCCUACGGGAGGCAGCAGUAGGGAAUCUUCCGCAAUGGACGAAAGUCUGACGGAGCAACGCCGCGUGAGUGAUGAAGGCUUUCGGGUCGUAAAACUCUGUUGUUAGGGAAGAACAAGUGCUAGUUGAAUAAGCUGGCACCUUGACGGUACCUAACCAGAAAGCCACGGCUAACUACGUGCCAGCAGCCGCGGUAAUACGUAGGUGGCAAGCGUUAUCCGGAAUUAUUU